This 515-nucleotide ribosomal RNA is filed under the name uncultured bacterium. RNAcentral describes it as "bacterial SSU rRNA". It matches the Rfam family "Bacterial small subunit ribosomal RNA", at positions 501 to 1017 of the family's 1533-position model. The record is from RNAcentral.
CUACGUGCCAGCAGCCGCGGUAAUACGGAGGGUGCGAGCGUUAAUCGGAAUAACUGGGCGUAAAGGGCACGCAGGCGGCUAUUUAAGUGAGGUGUGAAAUCCCCGGGCUUAACCUGGGAAUUGCAUUUCAGACUGGGUAGCUAGAGUACUUUAGGGAGGGGUAGAAUUCCACGUGUAGCGGUGAAAUGCGUAGAGAUGUGGAGGAAUACCGAAGGCGAAGGCAGCCCCUUGGGAAUGUACUGACGCUCAUGUGCGAAAGCGUGGGGAGCAAACAGGAUUAGAUACCCUGGUAGUCCACGCUGUAAACGCUGUCGAUUUGGGGAUUGGGCUUUAAGCUUGGUGCCCGUAGCUAACGUGAUAAAUCGACCGCCUGGGGAGUACGGCCGCAAGGUUAAAACUCAAAUGAAUUGACGGGGGCCCGCACAAGCGGUGGAGCAUGUGGUUUAAUUCGAUGCAACGCGAAGAACCUUACCUACUCUUGACAUCCAUGGAAUCUUGUAGAGAUACGAGAGUGC